RNAcentral lists this microRNA precursor (136 nucleotides) under Hordeum vulgare. RNAcentral describes it as "microRNA MIR1122". It matches the Rfam family "MIR1120/MIR1122 microRNA precursor family". Lineage: Eukaryota; Viridiplantae; Streptophyta; Magnoliopsida; Poales; Poaceae. The record is from RNAcentral.
AAACUACUUCCUCCGUUUCAAAAUUCUUGUCUUAGAUUUAUUUAGAUAUGAAUGUAUCUAGUCAAGUUUUAGUAUUUAGAUACAUCCAUUUCAAGACAAAGCUAAGACAAGAAUUUUAGAACGGAGGGAGUAUGAU